ACCGCGGGCUGCUGGCGUCUCACCUACCUAACAGAAAAGCAUCAGGGGGUUGGCGUCCCCCUCCCCGCAUGGCGGCUCAGUAUAGCCGCACCUCGUCCUCAGCCCUGGCACCGUCCUGCCUGUCAGGUGCCAGCGUAGCCUCACUGCCCAGGGCCACGAGCCACCCAGGACGUACUGGUGUAACACACAGCAGCUACUGCUGGUGGGGCCCACGGGACGACAAGGGCACAUGCCGCUGGCUUCCCUGGCCCCUUGCCAGCAGCGAAAGGGCAAUAAGUUACAUUUAAAAAUACAAAACGCUGUCCCCUCCCCAGACUACGUUCCCCUGUAGGCAAUUACUGUAGUUACCAGCAAGAUACCAUGACAUUGCCAGUGGAAGAUAUUCUAUGAUUCUACCUAUGAGCAUGAAGGGGAGGAAAGAGCUUGUCUUGUACAGACCAUUAAAAGCUGGGCCACAGUAAGCGUUGGAACAUUCAGCAAUGAGAUACCAAACUGAGUCCACUAACUUGUUUCACACAUACUCCUGAGCAGUCAGCAGGAGUUAGCCAUGUAAGAGACUGGACAGAAAUAGUAAUGGCAAGAAGAUGGAUGGUAUGAACAGAAAAUAAGAGAACUGAAGUUUUUUCAGUGUCGGACAAGAUGAUUCAAGGAUCACAGUCACCAAACAUGCAGUCAGGUUGAAAAGAGGAUAUAUAUAUUUUGGGAGUGGAGAUUGACAAUAGCAAAGUCCUCUUCCAACACCAACAGCAACAAACUGUUUCCAGCCAUGCCAGCACCCAGAGCACUUGAGGCAUGACUAUAAAAUGACUGUCACGUAACUGCCUAAAUCCAGCCACUUUGAUGCAGAAUCCAGCACCACUGAAGUCACCGGGCCCAGGACCAAGCCCACACUGGAUAAUGUAAUAGAGGUAUCUAAAAUAAUGACUGGUAUAGAGAAGAUAAAUCAGGCUUCCCUAUUUACCCUCUUUCCUAUAAUAGAAGAGCAAAGGGAUGCCCAGUAAAAUUAAAAGGCAACAAUACAACUUUUUUUAAUCCACACAACUAACCUGUACAGCCACAGUUGUCCAUUGACCAUAAGGAUUUUACAUCAUUCUCUGAAAUAUGAAGUCCUGGCCACUGUCAGAAACAUGAUAUGGGACUAAGCGGGACCAUUGAUCUCAUCUGGUAUAACAAUU
Molecule: long non-coding RNA, 1175 nt
Organism: Mauremys reevesii (Reeves's turtle)
Lineage: Eukaryota; Metazoa; Chordata; Testudines; Geoemydidae
Exons: 3
Source: RefSeq, a predicted model, not a curated record